GACGAACGCUGGCGGCGUGCCUAAUACAUGCAAGUAGAACGCUGAAGGAGGAGCUUGCUUCUCUGGAUGAGUUGCGAACGGGUGAGUAACGCGUAGGUAACCUGCCUGGUAGCGGGGGAUAACUAUUGGAAACGAUAGCUAAUACCGCAUAAUAGUAGAUGUUGCAUGACAUUUGCUUAAAAGGUGCAAUUGCAUCACUACCAGAUGGACCUGCGUUGUAUUAGCUAGUUGGUGGGGUAACGGCUCACCAAGGCGACGAUACAUAGCCGACCUGAGAGGGGGAUCGGCCACACUGGGACUGGGACACGGCCCAGACUCCUACGGGAGGCAGCAGUAGGGAAUCUUCGGCAAUGGACGGAAGUCUGACCGAGCAACGCCGCGUGAGUGAAGAAGGUUUUCGGAUCGUAAAGCUCUGUUGUAAGAGAAGAACGAGUGUGAGAGUGGAAAGUUCACACUGUGACGGUAUCUUACCAGAAAGGGACGGCUAACUACGUG
RNAcentral lists this ribosomal RNA (495 nucleotides) under uncultured bacterium. RNAcentral's name for it is "partial 16S ribosomal RNA". It matches the Rfam family "Bacterial small subunit ribosomal RNA", at positions 28 to 507 of the family's 1533-position model. The record is from RNAcentral.